This is a non-coding RNA of Odocoileus virginianus texanus, 782 nucleotides long. The record is from RefSeq and is a predicted model, not a curated record. NCBI's taxonomy places the organism in Eukaryota, Metazoa, Chordata, Mammalia, Artiodactyla, Cervidae.
CCGACGGUACCCGGGUCUCGUGAUAGGCUGACGGACAGCCUGGAGACGCUCGGGGCCUAAUCCCCGGGGCCGGGAAUGUGACCCACCUUUGUGACAGAACAGAUUGUAGGGAUGCGAUUAGCUUUGAGACUGGGUGGGGCGGGGAUAGUCCGAAUUAUCCAGGUGCGCCUAAUGUAAUCAACGGCCCUUAUAAAGAGGAAGCAGGCGGCAGGCGGCAGUUAAGAACGCAGCUGUGGUGGCGGCGGCAACAACAUCGACGACGGUGACAGAGACCGAGGAAACGUUAGAUGGCUGACUUUUUGAAAGGGCUGCCUGUCUACAACAAAAGCAAUUUUAGUAGCUUCCAUGCCAACUGUCUGUGCAAAGCCUCGAACCGACGUCCGCCAGUCUACCUGCCCACUCAGGAGUACCCGUCUGAACAGAUAAUUGUGACAGAAAAAACAAACAUUCUUUUGCGCUACCUACAACAGCAACGGGACAAAAAGAAUGCCGCCAAGAAGAAAGACCAGGAGCAAGUGAACCUCGAGGCCGAGAGCUGGGCGUCCCCGUGCAAGAUCCCACGGAUCUACAGCCAGGACUGGGACGACUGGGACGAGGACCCUUGAGACUCACGGCCCCACUCAGACGCCUCCUGCGCUGUCUGCUCCUCGCCUGCCCGCCGGCCUGCCCACGCCCCACCGUUCACACCAUUUCCAAUAUGAUAAAGCCAAUGUGUUUAUUUUCCUUGUGUUUUUAUUGAUGCUGUAAACUUACCAACUUAUGAUUAAAGGGAUGUCAGACCC